GAUGAAUGCUGGCGGCGUGUCUAAGGCAUGCAAGUCGAACGAAUCAUUUUUUGUAGCAAUACUUGAAAUGGUUAGUGGCAAACGGGUGCGUAACACAUUGGUACCUGCCUCGUAGUCGGGAAUAAUCCUUCGAAAGAGGGUCUAAUUCCACGAUGGUCUCGCAAGAGUAAAGUCGCAAGACGCUACGAGAGGGGCCUAUGCCCUAUCAGCUAGUUAGUGAGGUAAUGGCUCACCAAGGCUAUGACGGUAGGGGGUGUGAGAGCACGACCCCCCUCACUGGGACUGAGACACUGCCCAGACACCUACGGGUGGCUGCAGUCGAGAAUAUUCCCCAAUGGCCGAAAGGCUGAGGGAGCGACGCCGCGUGCGGGAAGAAGGCCUUCGGGUCGUAAACCGCUUUUACCAAGGACGAAACAUGACGGUACUUGGAGAAUAAGAGGUUGCUAACUCUGUGCCAGCAGCCGCGGUAAUU
Molecule: ribosomal RNA, 472 nt
Filed under: uncultured bacterium
Lineage: Bacteria
Description: bacterial SSU rRNA
Rfam family: Bacterial small subunit ribosomal RNA
Source: RNAcentral